GUGAGCCGUGUGAAGGGAAACCUUCCCGCAUGGUUCGGAGAGCACUGAAUUAGAAUGAGAGGUUCACCACCACAUCAUUGCAUGCAAGGGGAGCUCGCUCGAUUCGCAAAUUGGUCCGACUCGUAAUUCACUUAUGACCCCGU
Non-coding RNA from Picea glauca (white spruce), 143 nucleotides. NCBI's taxonomy places the organism in Eukaryota, Viridiplantae, Streptophyta, Pinopsida, Pinales, Pinaceae. The record is from Rfam.